RNAcentral lists this ribosomal RNA (460 nucleotides) under uncultured bacterium. RNAcentral describes it as "partial 16S ribosomal RNA". It matches the Rfam family "Bacterial small subunit ribosomal RNA", at positions 338 to 795 of the family's 1533-position model. The record is from RNAcentral.
CCUACGGGCGGCAGCAGUGAGGAAUAUUGGUCAAUGGACGAGAGUCUGAACCAGCCAAGUAGCGUGAAGGAUGACUGCCCUAUGGGUUGUAAACUUCUUUUAUAUGGGAAUAAAAUGUUCCACGUGUGGGAUUUUGUAUGUACCAUAUGAAUAAGGAUCGGCUAAAUCCGUGCCAGCAGCCGCGGUAAUACGGAGGAUCCGAGCGUUAUCCGGAUUUAUUGGGUUUAAAGGGGGCGUAGGUGGAUUGUUAAGUCAGUUGUGAAAGUUUGGGGCUCAACCGUAAAAUUGCAGUUGAAACUGGCAGUCUAGAGUGCAGGAGAGGUGGGCGGAAUGCGUGGUGUAGCGGUGAAAUGCUUAGAUAUCACGAAGAACUCCGAUUGCGAAGGCAGUUCACUGGACUGCAACUGACGCUGAGGCUCGAAAGUGUGGGUAUCAAACAGGAUUAGAUACCCUGGUAGUC